This 279-nucleotide unclassified non-coding RNA is filed under the name uncultured fungus. RNAcentral describes it as "sequence contains ITS1". The record is from RNAcentral. Lineage: Eukaryota; Fungi.
GUAAUGUAUAUUUAAUAGGCAUAUAAAGCCUGUGUUACAUUCAAGUCUUUAUAUGGAGUAUAAAUAAAACAUAAAUCUGAAAGUGAGGAAAAGCCGCGCAUUGAUUCAAUUCACAGCAGUUUCCUAGACCGAGUUAAUCUCGAGAGUUAUUCAGAUCUACACAAAGUGCACAGGUGGGUGUAAAUAUAGGAAUAGGCGUGCACAAUGCCCCACAGGACCAGCAACAGCCUAAACCAAAUUUAUUCAAUAAUGAUCCUUCCGCAGGUUCACCUACGGAAA